CCCCUGAAUGAUGUAGGCUAUGGGGCCACAUAAGACUUUGUGCAUCCAGGGUUACAUAGCAGGACAACUUUAAACUAAAAAGCUACCAGACUGGGAUUUUAGUGUACUCCAGGAUCUAACAAAUACUACUACGAAGUGUACAGUGCAUAAUAUAGUGUUUAGUGUAUAAUCUAACCUAAGGAUUAAGUGUAGUACAUUGUGCUUUAUAGUGUCACAAGAGUUUAAUAAAGAAUUAUACCUUCAAGAACCAUCCUUUGCCAUUGAAAUAACCACACUACACAUCAUGCAAUAUACUUGCAUGUCACACAGGUAAGGUCUCUAACUUUUUCUUAGUUUAAGGCAUAUUUCCAAGUGUCGUUCCGGCUUACGACGAUUUUCGGCUUACGACGCGCCUCAAGAACGGAACCCCCGUCGUAACCCGGGGACUGCCUGUACUAAUCUUU
This is a long non-coding RNA of Macrobrachium nipponense, 443 nucleotides long. RefSeq lists it as uncharacterized. NCBI's taxonomy places the organism in Eukaryota, Metazoa, Arthropoda, Malacostraca, Decapoda, Palaemonidae. The record is from RefSeq and is a predicted model, not a curated record. The transcript has 3 exons.